UACAGAGGUCUCAAGCGUUGUUCGGAUUCAUUGGGCGUAAAGGGUGUGUAGGUGGCGCGCUAAGUCGGGUGUGAAAUUUCGGAGCUUAACUGCGAAACUGCAUUCGAUACUGGCGUGCUUGAGGACUGGAGAGGAGACUGGAAUUCAUGGUGUAGCAGUGAAAUGCGUAGAGAUCAUGAGGAAGACCAGUGGCGAAGGCGGGUCUCUGGACAGUUCCUGGCACUGAGACACGAAGGCCAGGGGAGCAAACGGG
RNAcentral lists this ribosomal RNA (253 nucleotides) under uncultured bacterium. RNAcentral describes it as "partial 16S ribosomal RNA". It matches the Rfam family "Bacterial small subunit ribosomal RNA", at positions 524 to 776 of the family's 1533-position model. The record is from RNAcentral.